AAAUGAUACGGUGACUCGCUCGCUUCUGAGCU
This 32-nucleotide small RNA is filed under the name Bombyx mori (domestic silkworm). RNAcentral describes it as "ovarian small RNA-10151". Lineage: Eukaryota; Metazoa; Arthropoda; Insecta; Lepidoptera; Bombycidae. The record is from RNAcentral.